Molecule: ribosomal RNA, 378 nt
Filed under: uncultured eukaryote
Lineage: Eukaryota
Description: SSU rRNA
Rfam family: Eukaryotic small subunit ribosomal RNA
Source: RNAcentral
AGCUCCAAUAGCGUAUAUUAAAGUUGUUGCGGUAAAAGCUCGUAGUUGGAUUUCUGCACGGUACGACCGGUCUACACCACGUGUACGCAUCUGGUUCGGACUGUGCAUCCUCUCGAUGGGCGUUUCUGCGCUUGAUUGCGUGGAGCGAACUUCGGGACUUUUACUUUGAGGAAAUUAGAGUGUUUACGGCAGGCUAUCGCCAGAAUACAUUAGCAUGGAAUAAUACUAUAGGAUCUUGGUCCUAUUUUGUUGGUUUCUAGGAUUGAGAUAAUGAUUAAUAGGGACAAUUGGGGGCAUUAGUAUCAACACGUCAGAGGUGGAAUUCUUGGAUUGUGUUGCGACUAACUACUGCGAAAGCAUUUGCCAAGGAUGUUUUCA